CUUACCCUGUGUGUCUACGAUGUAUAGAUACCCGCUGAACUUAAGCAUAUCAAUAAGCGGAGGAAAAGAAACCAACAGGGAUUGCCCUAGUAACGGCGAGUGAAGCGGCAACAGCUCAAAUUUGAAAUCUGGCUCUUUUAGAGUCCGAGUUGUAAUUUGCAGAGGGCGCUUUGGCUUUGGCAGCGGUCCAAGUUCCUUGGAACAGGACGUCACAGAGGGUGAGAAUCCCGUACGUGGUCGCUGGCUAUUGCCGUGUAAAGCCCCUUCGACGAGUCGAGUUGUUUGGGAAUGCAGCUCUAAAUGGGAGGUACAUUUCUUCUAAAGCUAAAUAUUGGCCAGAGACCGAUAGCGCACAAGUAGAGUGAUCGAAAGAUGAAAAGCACUUUGGAAAGAGAGUCAAACAGCACGUGAAAUUGUUGAAAGGGAAGCGCUUGCAGCCAGACUUGCUUACAGUUGCUCAUCCGGGUUUCUACCCGGUGCACUCUUCUGUAGGCAGGCCAGCAUCAGUUUGGGCGGUAGGAUAAAGGUCUCUGUCACGUACCUCCUUUCGGGGAGGCCUUAUAGGGGAGACGACAUACUACCAGCCUGGACUGAGGUCCGCGCAUCUGCUAGGAUGCUGGCGUAAUGGCUGUAAGCGGCCCGUCUUGAAACACGGACCAAGGAGUCUAACAUCUAUGCGAGUGUUUGGGUGUCAAGCCCGAGCGCGUAAUGAAAGUGAACGGAGGUGGGAACCCGCAAGGGUGCACCAUCGACCGAUCCUGAUGUCUUCGGAAGGAUUUGAGUAAGAGCAUGGCUGUUGGGACCCGAAAGAUGGUGAACUAUGCUUGAAUAGGGUGAAGCCAGAGGAAACUCUGGUGGAGGCUCGCAGCGGUUCUGACGUGCAAAUCGAUCGUCAAAUUUGGGCAUAGGGGCGAAAGACUAAUCGAACUAUCUAGUAGCUG
This 941-nucleotide ribosomal RNA is filed under the name Alternaria tenuissima. RNAcentral's name for it is "partial large subunit ribosomal RNA". It matches the Rfam family "Eukaryotic large subunit ribosomal RNA", at positions 1 to 953 of the family's 3401-position model. Lineage: Eukaryota; Fungi; Ascomycota; Dothideomycetes; Pleosporales; Pleosporaceae. The record is from RNAcentral.